Molecule: ribosomal RNA, 341 nt
Filed under: Amanita excelsa
Lineage: Eukaryota; Fungi; Basidiomycota; Agaricomycetes; Agaricales; Amanitaceae
Description: eukaryotic LSU rRNA
Rfam family: 5.8S ribosomal RNA (bases 1-105)
Source: RNAcentral
GAAAUGCGAUAAGUAAUGUGAAUUGCAGAAUCCAGUGAAUCAUCGAAUCUUUGAACGCACCUUGCGCUCCUUGGUAUUCCUUGGAGCAUGCCUGUUUGAGUGUCAUUAAAUUAUCAGAAUCGCACUUAGUGAUUUUGGACUGUGGGAUUGCUGGAGUUCUGUUGUGUGGAAAUCAAGCUCUCCUUAAAUAUAUUAGAAGAGUCAACAAUGUAUACUCUAUUGGUGUGAUAAGACAAAUGUUAUCACCAGAGUUGCUGUACGACUGCUUCUAUCUUAAAUGUCCUUUGGACAAAUUGACAAAAAUUGACAUCAGAUCAGGUAGGAUUACCCGCUGAACUUAA